AGUGAACGCUGGCGGUAGGCCUAACACAUGCAAGUCGAACGGCAGCACAGGAGAGCUUGCUCUCUGGGUGGCGAGUGGCGGACGGGUGAGGAAUACAUCGGAAUCUACUCUGUCGUGGGGGAUAACGUAGGGAAACUUACGCUAAUACCGCAUACGACCUACGGGUGAAAGCAGGGGACCUUCGGGCCUUGCGCGAUGGAAUGAGCCGAUGUCGGAUUAGCUAGUUGGCGGGGUAAAGGCCCAACAAGGCGACGAUCCGUAGCUGGUCUGAAAGGAUGAUCAGCCACACUGGAACUGAGACACGGUCCAGACUCCUACGGGAGGCAGCAGUGGGGAAUAUUGGACAAUGGGCGCAAGCCUGAUCCAGCCAUACCGCGUGGGUGAAGAAGGCCUUCGGGUUGUAAAGCCCUUUUGUUGGGAAAGAAAUCCAGCUGGCUAAUACCCGGUUGGGAUGACGGUACCCAAAGAAUAAGCACCGGCUAACUUCGUGCCAGCCGCCGCCGUAA
This 506-nucleotide ribosomal RNA is filed under the name uncultured bacterium. RNAcentral describes it as "partial 16S ribosomal RNA". It matches the Rfam family "Bacterial small subunit ribosomal RNA", at positions 29 to 523 of the family's 1533-position model. The record is from RNAcentral.